AGUAAUUCACUGGAGCCGCCGCUCCAGAGCGAUCAUUUGCUGAAGGCUUCUUGCCAACUAGAUGAAGAACCGCUGCCACCCCCUCGUUGCCACCGCACCUCCGGGCUUGGCGUCCUCUCCCGCGGGCUCCUGAGCCCUCCGCAGCUCGGGCUGCCCCCCGGCAGUUUGGUUUCUCUCGGGCUGAGUUGGGUUUGCUGGAGGGAGGGUGUAAACCACGAGGCGGGUCGGUAAGGCGAGCGGGUAGCAGGGCUGCGCAAGGAGCGCGCCUCGCCUGCCUUGGCUCCCGGACCGCGCUCCGGACUCGCACUGCCGCGGCCCUCCGCGACCGACUGACCCCUGGGCAAAUGGAAGGAGGGCAGGGCAGGGCAGGCGCCCGCCGCCGCCGCCGCUUCCUAAGCAGCCCCGGGGCGGAGCGGGGCCAGCAGCCCGCUCGGGGUGGCGGUGCCUGUGAACGGGAACCGAGCACCAACGGGGCGAGCGCGGGAGCCCUCUGCCGCCGGGCCGCUGCCGGGGGCCGGGGCACAGGCAGGCAGGAAUUGGAUAUCCAAACCAGCCAAGCUGCAUAAUUCAGUCUUGCCUCUGUGGUGCUGACAGAUUUGUCUCCAUCUCAUUAGACCCACAGUUUCAACUGGUGUUGUUUAUGACAACUCAUCCAGGAAUGAAGCUGCAAGCUUUGCAGCAGGCAUGAAGCUGCCAACUUUGCAGCAGGCAUGAAGCUGCCAACUUUGCAGCAGGCAUGAAGCUGCAAGCUUUGCAGGAGGAUGGAAGCUGCCAACUUUGCAGGAGGAUGGAAGCUGCCAACUUUGCAGGAGGAUGGAAGCUGCCAACUUUGCAGGAGGAUGGAAGCUGCCAACUUUGCAGGAGGAUGGAAGCUGCCAACUUUGCAGCAGGAAGGAAGCUGCCAACUUUGCAGCAGGAAGGAAGCUGCCAACUUUGCAGGAGGAUGGAAGCUGCCAACUUUGCAGGAGGAUGGAAGCUGCCAACUUUCCAGGAGGAUGGAAGCUGCCAACUUUGCAGGAGGAUGGAAGCUGCCAACUUUGCAGCAGGAAGGAAGCUGCCAACUUUGCAGCAGGAAGGAAGCUGCCAACUUUGCAGCAGGAAGGAAGCUGCCAACUUUGCAGCAGGAAGGAAGCUGCAAGCUUUGACAAAACUCUUGAAAAGCAGCAGUAUUCCACUUAAACCAAGGCUUUUAUCAAAGGAAAAUGCUUUGAAAUGUCCCUUACCAUGCUGGUUCUUUACUGGUGACCUGCAAGUGUUGGGUUAAUGGCUGGACUCAAUGAUCUCUAAACCAAUUCUUUGAUUCUGGGAUUAGUACUUCUAUUCCACCCUAUAAUUACAGAAUGGUAGAGGUUGGAAGGGACCUCCAAAGAUCAGUGAAUCCAACUCUCGUGCCAAAGCAGGAUCACCCAGGGCAGGACACACAGGAACGCAUCCAGGUUGGCUUGGAAAGUCUCCAGAGGAGGAGACUCCACAGCCUCUCUGGGCAGCCUGCUCCAGGGCUCUGUUACUCUCACAAUAAAGAAGGUUGUCCUUG
Long non-coding RNA from Pogoniulus pusillus (Red-fronted tinkerbird), 1534 nucleotides. RefSeq lists it as uncharacterized. The record is from RefSeq and is a predicted model, not a curated record. The transcript is spliced from 2 exons. Lineage: Eukaryota; Metazoa; Chordata; Aves; Piciformes; Lybiidae.